AACGAACGCUGGCGGCAUGCCUAACACAUGCAAGUCGAACGAGACCUUCGGGUCUAGUGGCGCACGGGUGCGUAACGCGUGGGAACCUGCCCUUAGGUUCGGAAUACCUCCCCGAAAGGGGUGCUAAUACCGGAUAAUGUCUUCGGACCAAAGAUUUAUCGCCUUUGGAUGGGCCCGCGUUGGAUUAGCUCGUUGGUAGGGUAAAAGCCUACCAAGGCGACGAUCCAUAGCUGGUCUGAGAGGAUGAUCAGCCACACUGGGACUGAGACACGGCCCAGACUCCUACGGGAGGCAGCAGUGGGGAAUAUUGGACAAUGGGCGAAAGCCUGAUCCAGCAAUGCCGCGUGAGUGAUGAAGGCCUUAGGGUUGUAAAGCUCUUUUACCCGGGAUGAUAAUGACAGUACCGGGAGAAUAAGCUCCGGCUAACUCCGUG
RNAcentral lists this ribosomal RNA (433 nucleotides) under uncultured bacterium. RNAcentral's name for it is "partial 16S ribosomal RNA". It matches the Rfam family "Bacterial small subunit ribosomal RNA", at positions 29 to 507 of the family's 1533-position model. The record is from RNAcentral.